Molecule: ribosomal RNA, 245 nt
Filed under: uncultured bacterium
Lineage: Bacteria
Description: partial 16S ribosomal RNA
Rfam family: Bacterial small subunit ribosomal RNA
Source: RNAcentral
AACGUAGGAGCCAAGCGUUAUCCGAAUUCACUGGGCGUAAAGCGCGUGCAGGCGGCCUGUUAAGUUGGAUGUGAAAUCUCCUGGCUCAACUGGGAGAGGACGUUCAAUACUGGCGGGCUAGAGGGCAAUAGAGGGAGGUGGAAUUCCGGGUGUAGUGGUGAAAUGCGUAGAUAUCCGGAGGAACACCAGUGGCGAAAGCGGCCUCCUGGAUUGCACCUGACGCUCAGACGCGAAAGCUAGGGGAG